Molecule: ribosomal RNA, 303 nt
Filed under: uncultured bacterium
Lineage: Bacteria
Description: bacterial SSU rRNA
Rfam family: Bacterial small subunit ribosomal RNA
Source: RNAcentral
ACGAACGCUGGCGGCGUGCUUAACACAUGCAAGUCGAGCGGUAAGGCCCUUUCGGGGUACGACGAGCGGCGAACGGGUGAGUAACACGUGGGUGACCUCGCCCUCAGCUCUGGGAGUAAGCCGUCGGGAAACCGGGUCUAAUACUGGAUAUGACUCCAUGACGCAUGUUGGUGGGGUAGGAAAGCCUUGUGCGGCUGAGGAUGGGCCCGCCGGCCUAUCAGCUUGUUGGGUGGGGUGAGGCCUACCAAGGCGACGACGGGUAGCCGGCCUGAGAGGGCGACCGGCCACACUGGGACUGAGACA